CCUACGGGUGGCAGCAGUAGGGAAUCUUCGGCAAUGGACGAAAGUCUGACCGAGCAACGCCGCAUGAGUGAAGAAGGUUUUCGGAUCGUAAAACUCCGUUGGUAGAGAAGAACGUUGGUGAGAGUGGAAAGCUCAUCAAGUGACGGUAACUACCCAGAAAGGGACGGCUAACUACGUGCCAGCAGCCGCGGUAAUACGUAGGUCCCGAGCGUUGUCCGGAUUUAUUGGGCGUAAAGCGAGCGCAGGUGGUUUAUUAAGUCUGGUGUAAAAGGCAGUGGCUCAACCAUUGUAUGCAUUGGAAACUGGUAGACUUGAGUGCAGGAGAGGAGAGUGGAAUUCCAUGUGUAGCGGUGAAAUGCGUAGAUAUAUGGAGGAACACCGGUGGCGAAAGCGGCUCUCUGGCCUGUAACUGACACUGAGGCCCGAAAGCGUGGGGAGCAAACAGGAUUAGAUACCCGAGUAGUC
RNAcentral lists this ribosomal RNA (465 nucleotides) under uncultured bacterium. RNAcentral's name for it is "bacterial SSU rRNA". It matches the Rfam family "Bacterial small subunit ribosomal RNA", at positions 338 to 795 of the family's 1533-position model. The record is from RNAcentral.